CCAGCCACUCACAGCAGUCUCCUGCCACAGAUGUAGAUAAAUAUGAUUACCUGCCCCCAACCUCCCUGCUCUCCUGUUAGUGUCAGCGGUGGGAUCAGACCAGAGUCCCAGCCACUAAACCAGGCCCAGCGCCCAGGGCUCUAGGUGUAAAAUACCAGGUCACGCAGCCGAUCCUGCGUCUGGACACCAUUGCC
This 194-nucleotide long non-coding RNA is filed under the name Gopherus evgoodei (Goodes thornscrub tortoise). RNAcentral describes it as "lncRNA (ENSGEVG00005012641.1)". The record is from RNAcentral. Lineage: Eukaryota; Metazoa; Chordata; Testudines; Testudinidae.